UCUGGGCACAGUGGUGCAUACCUAUAGUACCAGCCACUCAGGAGGCUGAGGCAGGAGGAUGACUUGAGUCACAGGAAUUCUGGGUUUUAGUGCAUUAUACCAUUUGGGUGUCUGCAUUAACUUCAGCAUUAGUGCAGUGACCCCUCAGAAGCAGGGGACCACCAGGUUGCCCAAGGAGGGUGUACCGGCCCGGGUAGCAAAUAGAGCAGAUCAAAUAACUCUCCUAUGCUGAUCAGUAGUGGGAUUGCACCUGUAAAAAGCCACUGCACUCCAGCCUGGACAACAUAGUGAAACCCGUCUCU
Molecule: unclassified non-coding RNA, 302 nt
Organism: Colobus angolensis palliatus
Lineage: Eukaryota; Metazoa; Chordata; Mammalia; Primates; Cercopithecidae
Rfam family: Metazoan signal recognition particle RNA
About the family: The signal recognition particle (SRP) is a universally conserved ribonucleoprotein. It is involved in the co-translational targeting of proteins to membranes.
Source: Ensembl